AUUAAAAUUGAGGAACUGAUAAUGUUUUCAGAGGGAUUAUCUUCCAAGGAGUGACUAGGAUCCAAACUCAAAAAAUAAACAGAUUAAGACCAUUUCUUCAGUCUAGUUCCACAGUGUGUAUAUCAUGAACUUUGCCAAAGGACAGUUGAUAUUUUUCCUACCCCAUCCCCUUCAUUUGGUCACCCAAUUUCAACAGGAAAGCUGGGAGGGACUGGGAGUCUGGGGUUAACAGAUGCAAACUAUUGCCUGUGGAGUGGAUAAGCCAUGAGAUCCUACAGCGCCGCACAGGGAACUCUAUCUAGUCACUUAGGAUGGAACAUGAUGGAGGACAACGUGAGGAGAAGAAGAUAUAUACACGCGUGUGACUGGGUCACUCUGCUGUACAGUGGAAAUUGACAGAACACUAUAAACCCACUAUAAUGAAAAAAAUAAAAAUCAUUUAAAAAAUAAAGCUAAAAUUCAGCAAUAACACCUUGUGGUGACUGGCCCUGUUCUAAACACUGGACACAGUAUGAGGCUAUCAAGGAACGUACAGUCUAGUGGGACACAUAGAAUCAUCACUGACGCAGCAACGGAGAUGCAGAAAGUACAACUGGGGCACGGAAGUUCAGCCCAGGCUGAUGAAUAAAGGCUCAGCCGUGGCCAGGAGGAGGAGGUUCUAGCUGAUCGACAUUGGCACAGGACCUUCCAGACAGAAGGAGGAGCAUGCGUAAGCAACACUGAGCACAGCACAGCCUCUGGGGAUAACCCGCACGUGGCACUGUGUGAGCACGCAGAGGGCACACUGGGGCGGGGGGGGGGGGCGGCUCUGGUUGGAAAUGGGCCUUCAGCACGCAGACAGGUGCCACAUCACAAAGGGCGGCGGCGGACCUUAUCCUGCAGGUGAAUGGUAAGCAGAGGAAUGAACAGUACAGUUAUGUUUCGGAAAGUUUACUUGGGUCACAGAGGAAAGAUGGAUUAAAAUGACUUAUUUAAGUCAUACUAGAGACUAAAACUAGUAAGAAAGCUAUUAUAUUACAGAAGCAGAGGUAAUGAGGGCCGGAACUUGAGAAGCAACAGUGGAAAUGGGCAUAAAGUGACCAAUUUAAAGAAGAUUCAGAAAGUAAAAUAUUCAUGAGGAGUUCCUAUCGUGGCUCAGUGGUUAACGAAUCCGACUAGGAAGCAUGAGCGGGUUCGAUCCCUGGCCUCGCUCAGUGGGUUAAGGAUCCGGCGUUGCUGUGAGCUGUGGUGUAGGUCGCAGACGAGGCUUGGAUCCACAUUGCUGUGGCUGUGGUGUAGGCCGGGCGGCUACAGCUCCGAUUGGACCCCUAGCCUGGGAACCUCUAUAUGCUGUGAUGCAGCGCUAAAAAGACAAAAAAAAAAAAAAAAGUAAAAUAUGUGACAGACACCACAGGUUCCCAGCUAACUGCCUGCCCACAACUCACUGUAAAGGCUAGAAGAGCCAGACAGGCCCCUUCUCAGCUUCACCACAGUCACCAGGGAGCCAACUCUGGACCGUCUCUUGGGAAAGGAGGGUGGCUGUGGCAAGGCCUUCCCCGUCUAUUCAAAAGAGAGAGAUGGAUGUGGAGGAAAGUCCUACUCACCUCUGUCUUCUCCUCCUGCUGACUGAGGACACUAUGUCGGGUGCUGUGACAGUCACUUUACAACUAGGAGAGGACAAAGCAAGAACAAAGGCCAACAUGCUGAGGACAGCAGAGUGGAAAGACGAAAAAGUCUUGGUCCCUGAGGACUGGCCGAGCUGCGGGGCUAAUGCAGGGACUGUUUAUUUCUGGCGUAAGUAUCCUUCCAGUUCAAGCCACUCAUUGUCAAGCUCUCUGUUACUUUCAAAUAAAAUUAACCAAACUAAGAGACAGGGCCUGGUGAGGUGCAGGGUUUGUAACAAAGAGGAAUUUAAGUUUUGUUCCGAAGGCUCUGCCUUGGAAACUGAGAAGAAGGUGCCAGUUACCAAGAUAAAAUUACAGCACAAGAGAUUUGCAUCUUGGGGCUGGGGGGUGAGGCGGAGGUGGGGGGUGGAGGAGAGGAGGAAGGGUCUAAGGGGGGGAGGAGAAAAGGAAAAAAGUUUGUUCCUGGGCAUGCCGACUUAGAGAUAUUAUGGAAUCAAGGGAGUUCCCAUUGUGGCUCUGUGGCGGCAAGCCCGACUACUAUCCAUGAGGAUCAGAUUCGAUCCCUGGCCUCGCUCAGUGGGCUAAGGGUCUGGUGUUGCCGUGAGCUGUGGUGUAGGCCGGCAGCUACAGUUCCAAUUAGCCCCCUAGCCUGAGAGCCUCCAUAUGCCAUAGGUGCGGCCCUAAAAGGCUAAAAAAAAAAAAAACUAUGGAAUCACCCAGGUGAGAAGUUUAUUGAGGUGACUCUGGAACUCUUUCAAACAGUCUGAAUGAGAUCGACAGAUGUGCGGGAAGCCAGAUCCUGCCCCAGCUGCACGGCUCACACUCCCUAAGGGAGACAAGAGACUCAGUGGAGUCCAGAUAAAAACUUCCUAAUGUGAAGAGUCCUAGAGAGUGUUAAUCUUCUACUAUGACUCUGAAGAUGUACAGAUACUCUUUAAAAGUAGGAAGAAAACGUUUUAUAGAAUGCAUCUACAGACAUUAUCAUAUUACUGCAUAUUUUUAUUUUAUAAAAACUCCUUAGUAGCCAAGAUAACUGGAGAAACCCAGUAUCUGGAUGGAGGACCAAUGAAGAGCUUGUGCUAAAGUGACUACACCAGAGAUGGGCGCAGCCACUGAAACCCCCGGCCUCACUGUGUGUGCUCGCAAAUCAGCAGUUUUGAAUCACCUCAUUCCCAAGACGCGGAAAGUAACUCCAGGACAGGUUUUACCGGGGGAUGGAUUACUCUGAAGCACAGAGAGGAACCUAAUCAUUGAGAAGGCAGCAAGCAAUAAUUAAGCACCACUGAGAAAGAUUAAGUAAGCUUCUGAGGGCUGGCGUAUUCCUCCAGGAGAAGGAAGUUAAUUCGGAUGACCCCGAAACAAUUAUUUUCACCCGUGGCAGAGUUAUGGAAGCACUGACCCGCAGCUCCCACCCUAGUGAAAAGGAAAAGCAGAGCAGGCAACAGUCUCACAGAGAAAGAGGCACAAGGAUACACAGCAAGUGGUCCCUAUAAACAGUGAUUAUAAGUGCAAAUCAAAGGCUGAUUUUCUUGUUUACAAAGCUGGGACUGGAUAGGUAGCUCAUGUACCAGGCCUGUAUGUAAGGACAGACGGACAGAUGCGGGCAAUCCUCAUCAAAAGCAUUUAUGACUAGCAAAGAUAAAAGGACUCUGCCCUUGCCAUCAAGCAAACAUGUUCAAAAACCAAAACAGACUUGAGAAAAAUAAGUAUAAUAGAUACAAAUUUUGUCUAUCAACCCACUGGUCUUCAUUCUAAAACCUAACUCUGAGCACACUGCUCCCCACCACGAACACUUUAAGAGGUUCCCUCCCGGCUCACAGCCUCCCUAAGCCCUUCACUCCAACCCCAAACUAAAUGUUUUGUCCCCUUUCACGCAUUCUAUCUACACUCUAGCCAUGAGGGGACCAGCGGAGAUCCCCCACCCAACCCGUGCUUUCCCACUCCUGCCACUCUGUUCCCACUGACUGUUCUCUGCCUGUGGACAUGCUGCCGGUCCUUCGGGCUUGACGUUCUGGAGCUUUCAGCAUCCCCGAUCCCACAAAGCACUCAGGCUCCCCCCUUUACAUCUUGUUCUGCUCUUAGCAAAAGUAGGCUAUUCUGUCUUGAUUUGUUACUACUGUGACAUUCUAAAUUCCUUAAAAGAAGAGAUAAUUCACUUUGGUGACUUCUACAGGGUCAUAACUAAAUAACUGUAGGCUGCCAAGUUAGUGGCAUAAAACACAAACUGAAAGCUCUCAAAAAAACACACAAGGACUUCCUGUUGUGGCGCAGCGGAAAGGAAUCUGACGAGUAUCCAUAAGGACUCAGUUUCGAUCCCUGGCCUUGAUCAGUGGGUUAAGGAUCCGGAGUUGCUGUGAGCUGUGGUGUAGGUUGCCAACAUAGCUCGGAUCUUGAGUUGCUGUGGCUGUGGAGCAGGCCGUCAGCUGCAGCUCCUAAUCGACCCUUAGCCUGGGAACUUCCAUAUACCACAGGUGCGGCCCUAAAAAGCAAAAAAAAAGAAAAAAGAAUACACAAGCCUAGGUUUGAUAACUCAGCUAUAAAGACUCAUAUACCUCUGUUAGGAAGAAAAAGCAAUACAUAAGAAAUAAACACAGGAAUUAUGCAGUGGAGAAGAUAAUGAAACAGACUGUGGUCUAGAAAUUCUAGCUCCUACUUCGAAGUUAUCAGGCCGGGUUUAACCCACCCUUUUGUCUCUCUCUGCUCCCUCUGUAACUACCUCCUCUGCAAAGGCGAGGUGAAGAAUAAGAUCUUUGUUGUCUAGUUAAUACCUCUUCCUCUACCUUCGCAGAUUCCUUUUAGACUCUGAAACCAUGGCCCCCUGGCCACUGCAGAAUUCUGACUUAUAAAGGAGUGGAAACCAUCUGCAAGAACAGGAAGACAGUGUUCUCAAUACAUCAUCAAGGAUGGUUUGUAACACUCUUCAUGAAUAAACAGUCAGAUCACUGAGGGGGUGGGGGGCAAAGACACGGUAAAAGGGAUAUAAGAAUUCUUGAAAAGUAAAGGCAACUACAGCUCUCUGCAGAAAAAGGUUAAAUCUGGGGAAUUAUUUCUUAACCAGUCACAAAGGCCAAAGACCUUACAAAGCAGCACGAUUUUCUAGCAUCUCUAAUUCUGAUUAUUCUUCUCUGAAACUUUUGCUACAGUGUUCCACUUUUCUUAGAGCCUACACCAAGCUAUGUCCUACUCUCACGAAUUCCCAGAUUGCGGCAUGGGAAUUCUCUUCUACCCAAGAUACGACACUGGAAAUUUAAAAACUUAAAGACAAUGCAAGAGAACCAAAACUUUAGGUCUAUGAAGGAGAACAAGACUCCCGACCUUUAGUAUUUCUGUUCUUUUGCAUCCAGCAAAAACAAUGAUGGGAACGUUCGGUCAAUCCGAAAAGAAAUUUUAAACAACGCAAAGAGAGGUAACCGCUUACAAAGCAAAAACUAAUCAACCCAAAGCCAUACAAACCCAAGCAUGCCUCUAACUGCAACAAUAAUUUUGUACUGGGUGUUUCAAUGGCAAACCGAUCCUUGGACUCGAUUCUGUGGGCUUAGAAUACACCAAAGGCAGAUGACAUAACAAACAAGUUCUUCCCGUCCCUCUCCUGUGGUCACGUCAGAUACCUGUUGCAUCACCCGGAAAGUGGUCUCCAGAAUCCAGGAAAGGAGCACCAUCAGGAUCCCUAAAUAAGGCAGCCGGACUAUCUGCUGGAUCAAUUUUAGCCUCCAUUCAUUUUAAUGAGGUUGCCUUGGAGGCAGGGGUGUGUUGGCUCCUGUUCACCUCUGAAGUCAGUCUC
RNAcentral lists this long non-coding RNA (5385 nucleotides) under Sus scrofa (pig). RNAcentral describes it as "lncRNA (ENSSSCG00065000964.1)". Lineage: Eukaryota; Metazoa; Chordata; Mammalia; Artiodactyla; Suidae. The record is from RNAcentral.